UUUCCGUAGGUGAACCUGCGGAAGGAUCAUUACUGAGUGAGGGCCCCUCGGGGUCCAACCUCCCACCCGUGUUUAACGAACCUUGUUGCUUCGGCGGGCCCGCCUCACGGCCGCCGGGGGGCAUCUGCCCCCGGGCCCGCGCCCGCCGAAGCCACCUGUGAACGCUGUCUGAAGUAUGCAGUCUGAGACCAUUAUUAAAUUAAUUAAAACUUUCAACAACGGAUCUCUUGGUUCCG
Molecule: unclassified non-coding RNA, 236 nt
Filed under: plant metagenome
Description: partial contains small subunit ribosomal RNA, internal transcribed spacer 1, and 5.8S ribosomal RNA
Source: RNAcentral